This 433-nucleotide ribosomal RNA is filed under the name uncultured bacterium. Its description in RNAcentral is "partial 16S ribosomal RNA". It matches the Rfam family "Bacterial small subunit ribosomal RNA", at positions 29 to 507 of the family's 1533-position model. The record is from RNAcentral.
AACGAACGCCGGCGGCAUGCCUAACACAUGCAAGUCGAACGAAGGCUUCGGCCUUAGUGGCGCACGGGUGCGUAACGCGUGGGAAUCUGCCCUUUGGUUCGGAAUAACAGCUGGAAACGGCUGCUAAUACCGGAUGAUGACGAAAGUCCAAAGAUUUAUCGCCAGAGGAUGAGCCCGCGUUGGAUUAGGUAGUUGGUGGGGUAAAGGCCUACCAAGCCGACGAUCCAUAGCUGGUCUGAGAGGAUGAUCAGCCACACUGGGACUGAGACACGGCCCAGACUCCUACGGGAGGCAGCAGUGGGGAAUAUUGGACAAUGGGCGCAAGCCUGAUCCAGCAAUGCCGCGUGAGUGAUGAAGGCCCUAGGGUUGUAAAGCUCUUUUACCCGGGAAGAUAAUGACUGUACCGGGAGAAUAAGCCCCGGCUAACUCCGUG